Non-coding RNA from Parelaphostrongylus tenuis, 75 nucleotides. NCBI's taxonomy places the organism in Eukaryota, Metazoa, Nematoda, Chromadorea, Rhabditida, Metastrongylidae. The record is from the annotation of a GenBank genome assembly.
GCGCCGGCAGUGCAACGGGUUAGAGCAUGCAACCCUGAAUAGGAUAAAAUGCGGGUUUGAGUCCCGUCUGGCACA